RNAcentral lists this ribosomal RNA (492 nucleotides) under uncultured bacterium. RNAcentral describes it as "partial 16S ribosomal RNA". It matches the Rfam family "Bacterial small subunit ribosomal RNA", at positions 29 to 507 of the family's 1533-position model. The record is from RNAcentral.
AGUGAACGCUGGCGGUAGGCCUAACACAUGCAAGUCGAACGGCAGCACAGUAAGAGCUUGCUCUUACGGGUGGCGAGUGGCGGACGGGUGAGGAAUACAUCGGAAUCUACUUUUUCGUGGGGGAUAACGUAGGGAAACUUACGCUAAUACCGCAUACGACCUACGGGUGAAAGCAGGGGAUCUUCGGACCUUUCGCGAUUGAAUGAGCCGAUGUCGGAUUAGCUAGUUGGCGGGGUAAAGGCCCACCAAGGCGACGAUCCGUCGCUGGUCCGAGAGGAUGAUCAGCCACACUGGAACUGAGACGCGGGCCAGACUCCUACGGGAGGCAGCAGUGGGGAAUAUUGGACAAUGGGCGCAAGCCUGAUACAGCCAUACCGCGUGGGUGAAGAAGGCCUUCGGGUUGUAAAGCCCUUUUGUUGGGAAAGAAAAGCAGCAGGUUAAUACCCCGCUGUUCUGACGGUACCCAAAGAAUAAGCACCGGCUAACUUCGUG